AUUGAACGCUGGCGGCAUGCCUUACACAUGCAAGUCGAACGGCAGCACGGGUGCUUGCACCUGGUGGCGAGUGGCGAACGGGUGAGUAAUACAUCGGAACAUGUCCUGUAGUGGGGGAUAGCCCGGCGAAAGCCGGAUUAAUACCGCAUACGAUCUACGGAUGAAAGCGGGGGACCUUCGGGCCUCGCGCUAUAGGGUUGGCCGAUGGCUGAUUAGCUAGUUGGUGGGGUAAAGGCCUACCAAGGCGACGAUCAGUAGCUGGUCUGAGAGGACGACCAGCCACACUGGGACUGAGACACGGCCCAGACUCCUACGGGAGGCAGCAGUGGGGAAUUGUGGACAAUGGGCGAAAGCCUGAUCCAGCAAUGCCGCGUGUGAAGAAGGCCUUCGGGUUGUAAAGCACUUUUGUCCGGAAAGAAAUCCUUGGCCCUAAUACGGUCGGGGGAUGACGGUACCGGAAGAAUAAGCACCGGCUAACUACGUG
This 484-nucleotide ribosomal RNA is filed under the name uncultured bacterium. RNAcentral's name for it is "partial 16S ribosomal RNA". It matches the Rfam family "Bacterial small subunit ribosomal RNA", at positions 30 to 507 of the family's 1533-position model. The record is from RNAcentral.